Long non-coding RNA from Mauremys reevesii (Reeves's turtle), 1184 nucleotides. RefSeq lists it as uncharacterized. The record is from RefSeq and is a predicted model, not a curated record. The transcript has 3 exons. Lineage: Eukaryota; Metazoa; Chordata; Testudines; Geoemydidae.
GGUUAAAGAGCUCCUCUGGGCUCAGUCAGCCCCAACCCACUGCACUUGUAAAGUUUGUCAAUGCUGGAGAAGGGCAGGUCCUUAAAAGGGAGUAUCCUGGCGUAGACUGGGUGGCAUUCAGGGGCAAACAGAACUAGUGCACAGAGCUCCCUGGAUUCAGGGAACAGGGUCUGUCUCUUGUGGAAACUGCAUGACAGCACCAGUUCCCCCGAGUCCUCUGAGGAAGCAGAAGGACCAGCUUUUCCUUACUUUUAUUUUUGGAUCCCUGGGACUCAGCCUUGGUGGUUUGGACACACAAGGGACAAGGAGCCAGACCUUUCUCCUAAGGACUAUUUGCCUGUACCCUGCAUGAGACCAUAGGGAACCAGCCCUCUUUAUGGAUUGUGGGCGAAUUUUGCCUUUUUCUUUUGGACUACUUCAACAUGCACCCCUUCCAUCCACCAGAAGGGGGAACUCCCUAAGAGGUACAGCUGGAGGGCUGUACCCCAAGUCUGGGACCCAGACUACAGUCAUGUUGCUGUCCUGAGAAGGACAUCCAAGACAAGAAAAGUGCUGCACUCAGCCCAAGGGGGAACCAGAGAGCCAUUCCAAUCGGCCUUCCUAAUGUCCCAGCGUGGGUUCGGUAGUGAUGUGAUGAGGAGGACCUUGGAGACCAGUGUGUAUGACAACAGGAUGGUGUUAGCUAUGCAGAAAAUCACCAAGGAGUUUCUUCUGCCACUCGGGACCAUGAGUUCCAGUCACAGGACAUGCAGCACAAGUUCAGCAAAUAGUCUUCUCCAUCUUGUGAAAUGGAAAGUUCCUGUCUGCUCAGAAUCGAACAACAGUUCCUAGUCUGUUCAAAAUUUAUAAAUAAGGAAGGAGGAAGGAAGAGAGAGAAGUUGGAGGAAGAAUCAGCAUCUCACUGCAGCCUGGUUGCUUUUGUGCCACUGAACAGUGACAGCAUUUCAGUUCUCAAGUCACAAAGACUGGAAAAGAAGGGAAGGAAGAUAUAAGGAUACACCAUGCACAGAUGCUUUUAUGACCCUACUAUCAAAGCAGUUUGAAUGUAAAGCCAGAUCCUCAGCUGAUGUAAACAGCUCUAGUAAACUCAGCAGAGCUGCACUGAAUUAUUCUAGAUGAGGCUUUCCCCACCAUUUUCACAUUCAGAUCUGUAUGGCCAGCAUUCUACAAAGCAGCAGCUUGCU